UUUAUUGGAGAGUUUGAUCCUGGCUCAGGAUGAACGCUGGCGGCGUGCCUAAUACAUGCAAGUCGAGCGAAUGGAUUAAGAGCUUGCUCUUAUGAAGUUAGCGGCGGACGGGUGAGUAACACGUGGGUAACCUGCCCAUAAGACUGGGAUAACUCCGGGAAACCGGGGCUAAUACCGGAUAAUAUUUUGAACCGCAUGGUUCGAAAUUGAAAGGCGGCUUCGGCUGUCACUUAUGGAUGGACCCGCGUCGCAUUAGCUAGUUGGUG
Molecule: ribosomal RNA, 266 nt
Filed under: Bacillus cereus
Lineage: Bacteria; Bacillati; Bacillota; Bacilli; Caryophanales; Bacillaceae
Description: partial 16S ribosomal RNA
Rfam family: Bacterial small subunit ribosomal RNA
Source: RNAcentral